This 1438-nucleotide ribosomal RNA is filed under the name Escherichia coli. Its description in RNAcentral is "partial 23S ribosomal RNA". It matches the Rfam family "Bacterial large subunit ribosomal RNA", at positions 323 to 1767 of the family's 2925-position model. The record is from RNAcentral. Lineage: Bacteria; Pseudomonadati; Pseudomonadota; Gammaproteobacteria; Enterobacterales; Enterobacteriaceae.
UGUGUGUUAGUGGAAGCGUCUGGAAAGGCGCGCGAUACAGGGUGACAGCCCCGUACACAAAAAUGCACAUACUGUGAGCUCGAUGAGUAGGGCGGGACACGUGGUAUCCUGUCUGAAUAUGGGGGGACCAUCCUCCAAGGCUAAAUACUCCUGACUGACCGAUAGUGAACCAGUACCGUGAGGGAAAGGCGAAAAGAACCCCGGCGAGGGGAGUGAAAAAGAACCUGAAACCGUGUACGUACAAGCAGUGGGAGCCUCUUUUAUGGGGUGACUGCGUACCUUUUGUAUAAUGGGUCAGCGACUUAUAUUCUGUAGCAAGGUUAACCGAAUAGGGGAGCCGAAGGGAAACCGAGUCUUAACUGGGCGUUAAGUUGCAGGGUAUAGACCCGAAACCCGGUGAUCUAGCCAUGGGCAGGUUGAAGGUUGGGUAACACUAACUGGAGGACCGAACCGACUAAUGUUGAAAAAUUAGCGGAUGACUUGUGGCUGGGGGUGAAAGGCCAAUCAAACCGGGAGAUAGCUGGUUCUCCCCGAAAGCUAUUUAGGUAGCGCCUCGUGAAUUCAUCUCCGGGGGUAGAGCACUGUUUCGGCAAGGGGGUCAUCCCGACUUACCAACCCGAUGCAAACUGCGAAUACCGGAGAAUGUUAUCACGGGAGACACACGGCGGGUGCUAACGUCCGUCGUGAAGAGGGAAACAACCCAGACCGCCAGCUAAGGUCCCAAAGUCAUGGUUAAGUGGGAAACGAUGUGGGAAGGCCCAGACAGCCAGGAUGUUGGCUUAGAAGCAGCCAUCAUUUAAAGAAAGCGUAAUAGCUCACUGGUCGAGUCGGCCUGCGCGGAAGAUGUAACGGGGCUAAACCAUGCACCGAAGCUGCGGCAGCGACACUAUGUGUUGUUGGGUAGGGGAGCGUUCUGUAAGCCUGCGAAGGUGUACUGUGAGGUAUGCUGGAGGUAUCAGAAGUGCGAAUGCUGACAUAAGUAACGAUAAAGCGGGUGAAAAGCCCGCUCGCCGGAAGACCAAGGGUUCCUGUCCAACGUUAAUCGGGGCAGGGUGAGUCGACCCCUAAGGCGAGGCCGAAAGGCGUAGUCGAUGGGAAACAGGUUAAUAUUCCUGUACUUGGUGUUACUGCGAAGGGGGGACGGAGAAGGCUAUGUUGGCCGGGCGACGGUUGUCCCGGUUUAAGCGUGUAGGCUGGUUUUCCAGGCAAAUCCGGAAAAUCAAGGCUGAGGCGUGAUGACGAGGCACUACGGUGCUGAAGCAACAAAUGCCCUGCUUCCAGGAAAAGCCUCUAAGCAUCAGGUAACAUCAAAUCGUACCCCAAACCGACACAGGUGGUCAGGUAGAGAAUACCAAGGCGCUUGAGAGAACUCGGGUGAAGGAACUAGGCAAAAUGGUGCCGUAACUUCGGGAGAAGGCACGCUGAUAUGUAGGUGAAG